UACGGAGGGUGCAAGCGUUUAUCCGGAUUCACUGGGUUUAAAGGGUGCGUAGGUGGCUUUGUAAGUCAGUGGUGAAAUGCCGCAGCUCAACUGCGGAACUGCCAUUGAUACUGCUUAGCUUGAAUCACGUCGAGGUGGAUGGAAUAUUACAUGUAGCGGUGAAAAUGCUUAGAUAUGUAAUAGAACACCGAUUGCGAAGGCAGUUCACUAGGCGUGUAUUGACACUGAGGCACGAAAGCGUGGGGGAUCAAACAGG
This 256-nucleotide ribosomal RNA is filed under the name uncultured bacterium. Its description in RNAcentral is "partial 16S ribosomal RNA". It matches the Rfam family "Bacterial small subunit ribosomal RNA", at positions 524 to 776 of the family's 1533-position model. The record is from RNAcentral.